This 72-nucleotide transfer RNA is filed under the name Sparassis crispa. It matches the Rfam family "tRNA". Rfam says of the family: Transfer RNA (tRNA) molecules are approximately 80 nucleotides in length. Their secondary structure includes four short double-helical elements and three loops (D, anti-codon, and T loops). Lineage: Eukaryota; Fungi; Basidiomycota; Agaricomycetes; Polyporales; Sparassidaceae. The record is from Rfam by way of RNAcentral.
GCCGAAAUAGUUUAAUUGGUAAAACAAAUUCCUUGUAAGACUUAAUUAUUGGUUCGAUUCCAGUUUUCGGCA